This 207-nucleotide ribosomal RNA is filed under the name uncultured bacterium. RNAcentral's name for it is "partial 16S ribosomal RNA". It matches the Rfam family "Bacterial small subunit ribosomal RNA", at positions 568 to 774 of the family's 1533-position model. The record is from RNAcentral.
CAUCUAGGCGGGGUUUCAAGUCGACGGUGAAAACUAGUGGCUCAACCAUAAGCUUGCCUACGAAACUGAUUAACUAGAGUACUGGAGAGGUGGACGGAACUACACGAGUAGAGGUGAAAUUCGUAGAUAUGUGUAGGAAUGCCGAUGAUGAAGAUAGUUCACUGGACAGAAACUGACGCUGAAGUGCGAAAGCUAGGGGAGCAAACA